UACGUAGGGUGCGAGCGUUAUCCGGAUUUACUGGGCGUAAAGAGUUGCGUAGGCGGCUUGAUAGAUUUUGCUUCAAAUGCUAUGGCUUAACCAUAGAUUCUGGCAAAAUAUCAUCAGACUAGAGUGUUAGAGAGGGUAUUGGAACCGAUUGUGAAGCAGUGAAAUGCGUUGAUAUAAUCGGGAACACCGAAGGCGUAGGCAGAUACCUAGCUAACCACUGACGCUGAGGCACGAAAGCAUGGGUAGCGAAGCAG
RNAcentral lists this ribosomal RNA (254 nucleotides) under uncultured bacterium. Its description in RNAcentral is "partial 16S ribosomal RNA". It matches the Rfam family "Bacterial small subunit ribosomal RNA", at positions 524 to 776 of the family's 1533-position model. The record is from RNAcentral.